This 33548-nucleotide long non-coding RNA is filed under the name Setaria viridis. Its description in RNAcentral is "long non-coding RNA (SVIR_LNC008611)". The record is from RNAcentral. Lineage: Eukaryota; Viridiplantae; Streptophyta; Magnoliopsida; Poales; Poaceae.
ACAUGGGAUCUACAUUCAUAUAUAUAUAUAUAUAUAUAUAUAUAUAUAUAUAUAUAUAUAUAUAUAUUAACAUCAUAAUAUAUAUAUUGUAACAACGUAAGUGAAUAAUAACAAUAGUAUCACGUAAAUAAAAAGAAUGUCUAUUAGCGAUUUACAACUUAAUUCUGGAAAUAGAGGCUCCAAACUUCACAGCCAAUCGAUCAGGGAUUGCAUACGUCUAGAAUUCAGCAUCAUCUUCACAACAACUUUACAACAGCUUCUUCUUCUGAGCAACGUUGGCUAUAGCAAGGGUGAGCACAUGUCGUAGUGUGGGGAAAAUAUGAAUACAAGGUUUAACAAGGAAAGGUUGACUGGUUGACUACAUUAAACAUUUUUAGUUGGUCAAAUUUUAUUAGCACCUGAUUAUUAAGAUAUAAGUAUAUACCAACCCACAAUUAUCAAGAACAUAGGCUAUAAGCAUAUAGCAGAAACAUAACCAUAAACCACAAUUUAAGUCCAUCUUCAAGUUCAAUUAUCAUGUGAGGGUGCAGACCGCUCUUGAACGUGAGCACAGCUGAUAUAUCAGUUUUACACUCUCCAGAGGUUGUACAUCUUUACCCACAAGUCGCGUAAAAGUUUAAAAAAACUUUAGACCCUAUGCUGAUCAGGCACUCAUCACACUACCGAGGUGUGACUUCAUAGGGACGCUACGAGGCCUUUACAAAGAUUUCCUAGUAAGGAUAGCUCGCUAAGGUUUCAGGAUCAGCGAAUGCAUAAACCUCUCUCAAACUGCGAAGCUACCAUAGAGCAUAUCAGUUUGAGGGCUGGGCUAUACAUCAACUACUGUCUCGCCCUCUUGCCCUUUCGGUAAAGCUACCAUAAACUAGAGUUUCUAAUUAAUUAGCCAAGACCAGAGCCCAUUAGUCCUUGUGGUCGUACUGUUUUCCUGGGUGGUCACUUCAUGUUCCAAUUAAGCAUGGUGAUGUUGUAUUAAUGAAAGGUAUAGCAUAAAUAAAAUACAUUUAUCAUCAUUUUUCAUUAAUUAGAACCACCAUAACCCAAAUAUAGCAGCUAAGCAUAACUACCCAACAGAAAGAUAAACCUAGGUUUACAAGGAAUGAUCAUAAAAGCUAGGCCAAUCUUAGAGGACCCAUCAAUAUUAAAUGCAAGCAUAUGCAAUAGUGAUUUAAAUAUAGUUAUUGGGACAAAAGCACAAAGGACACACUUGCCUUUAUCUAGAGUACCGCUGCUCAUAUUAUCUUCAGCUCUUGUUCUUCAAAGCUCUCGAACGACGUUCCUUCUACUCGCAUCAAUCAUCAGGCACAACCAUACAAAGCAAACAACAAUCGCAACUAAGAAUAAUAUACCAAUCAAGAAAAAUUUUAAAAUAGCGUACUAAAGGAUAUGGCUCGAUUCUAGCAACGCAAGGGACGAGAAAGACUAGAAACAAUGCUAUGGUUGAAAAGACAAAGCUAUCGAGAGAUUAUUACCAAACAACAAAAGACUAGGUACUAGAUAUAUUUUAAGUUAAUAAAAUCAUGUGUAAAAGUUAUUUCGGAGAAACAGCUUAUGUUAGAAUUAACUCAAAUUAUAUUAAUAUUUGAAAAAAACCGCAAUAAAACUUAAUCAAAUUUUUAUUUGUAACUGUGUAUGUACAAAUUAUACAAAUUAAUCAUUUAUUUGAAAAAUAACUUAGGUGAGAACAUCUAAGGGCAUAGCUUUAUGAUUCGGGUUGAACUAACCAAAUAUAAUUAAAAAUACAUUUAUAUUCAUAUUAAUCAAAUUAAUAUUUAGUUAUGAAAAUUCGAGAUAUAACUUAUGUAGCUUUUAUUCAUAAAAUAAAUUAAAUAACAUUAAUCAAAUUGAGUUUAGUAUGAAAAGCUGAGGUAUAUCUCUAAUUAAAUAAGCAUUAAUCAAAUUAAUAUUAGUAUGAAAAUAUGGGGUUAACUCUAAUUAGAUUUUAAUUAGAAAAGCAAGUGUAUAAGUCCUUAAUCAUAUUAAUAUUUUAAAUAAAUUAUAAAAUAAAGAACAUGAUUAACAUUGCUUCUAACACGUUGUUUAAGUUAACACAACAAAAAUCGAUUGAAACGGGGCUAAAACGUAGAAUCUAUGAGCUAAAUAAGUUACAGGGGUCUAAUCAUGAUUAAGCCUAGGCAACAGGGGCUAGCAAAGAAGACCUGCAAGACACAUGAAACAAUGCUCGCAAAAGAGGUAAGCCUCGAGGUCAGAUCUGUUAAAUGAUAGGCUACGACUGGUUUGCAAAGAUCUGGAAAGGUCCAGGGAGUUUUAUGGAAAACUCGCAAGACACAAGAAAUAAGGUAAACGUUACAUGAUUCUUUAGGGGUUCUUUUGCAAAGAGCUCGGGCCUGGCUGCCAUGGCGGACGGGCUCACUGGCCGGCGUGAUAGACGGCGGUCCGGCGGUCUAGGCUUGCGGCUGAGGUGAGGAAUCGAGAGAGGAAGUCGAGGGGGAUUCGCGUGGAGGUGAUCACCGGCGGAGGAGAGGACGGAGGUGGACGGCAUCGGCGGAGGCUUCAUGGCGGACGGCGACCGACGACGGGCAGCUCGGGUCUUCACGUGGCGGCGGUGCUCCGGCGAUCGAUUGAUGAUGAGGAUGGGCUGGAUAGGUGCGUCUCGUCGUCGCGGUGCUCCCCGUGGUGCCAGCUCCCUCCGGCGGCAGACGAGCCCGACGAAUCGGCCGGGGAAGACCGUGACGGCUCCCUGCUUCUCCAGCUCCAGGCGGCGGCGCUGAAUGGACGAGGAGCUCUGGCGGCAAUUCAACGGCGGCAGGUGGUGGAAAGCGUGCGGCUCAGCGAUACCGUCUUCCUGGCAGCGCUAGCUUGCUCCGGUGGUCGACGAGCACGGCGAAUCGGGCGAGCCGGCGGUGGUGCUCUGCUCCGGAAGCUGCUGGUGGCGGCGCGUGAUGCAGAGCAAGGGUGAGGCGCGGCGCAGAAGCGAGCGGGGCAACAGGGCGAGCAGGGGAGGAGGCGUCGCCCUUUAUAGGGCUGCGGGGCGAGCCCUGGCGUGGCGCGCACGCCGAGGGAAAGGCCGGCGGCGGCGCGCCGUGCUGUGCCUGGAGUCCGAGGCAAGCAACGACAGCUGGGUCCGGAUGGGCUCGGUUAGGCCCCAAGCAGGUCUGGACCGGGCCUCGCAGGCUCGGCCCGAGGGAAAGAAUUUCUUUUUUUGAAAUAAUUCCCGUGAAAGAAAAUUUAGGAAACAAAUCUAGAUACUUCAUUUAAUUCACGAAAAAUACUCCAAAAAUUCCAAAAAUUCAAGAAAAAUUCAUAGAGACAGAUUGGGACACGAUGAGUCCAAAUAAAUACUUGGAGCUUGGAGCUCGUGAAAAAGAUUCUACAACCUUCUAAUAAAUAGAUAUAUCUCUAAAAAAAUGCAAAUAAAUAUCAGAAAAAUCUGGAAAAUUCUUAGUGGAAUCUAAACAUUACAAAAACGUAUUUUUAAAACCUUUGCACUCACGAAACACCACGAUGCAUCGGUACGAAUGCAACACACAUAUAACCAUUUUAUUCAAUUUAGAAAAAAAACAACCAAUUAUUUUUUCUAUAUUAAAUUACCUGUCGAAAAAAUAAAUGUUGAGAAAAUUUUAAAAAAUAUGAGAAAAUUAUUGUUUAAUUAUUCUUUCUAAUUAAAUUCUCAAAUUCAAAAAUUCCAUGGUGCGACAAUUUGCGGUUGUUUUUCAGUUUCCGGCCUGCUUCGAUCCGCGGCUUCGUCCUGCUCAAGAGUGAAAAACUGGGCUUCCAUGGGCCUAGCGACAUGGCCCCAUACGUUCAGGGAAAACAAGACUCGGCCUAUGGGCUAUGGCCGGCCAUUAGCAUGUUCGAAUUCUCGAAACGCGCGCCAGUAGUUGGGCCUGGCCCAGUGUACGUAUAAUACGAGAUACGACUGAAUGGAGGGAAAUUGAAACCGGAGAAUUGAAAAUCUUUGUGAAAUCAUGUGAGCAGCGGAUGCCUCAAAACAGCUAGCGUCUACUCCUGUGAUGAGGAAAUCCGCAGGCCAGCGCAGGCCGUGCAUGAUACAGAAUCGCCCACGAUGAUGACGAUUUGCUUGUUCAUCAGAAUCUCCCACACGCCUGCUUCAGCGCUAGCGAUGGAAGAAGCCACAUGGUCAUCAUGGAGCUAGCAGCCUGCCUGCCCACGCGGCCACGUCGAAGCAGCGGGCAGUGCAGAUGACAGAUGAGAUCGCGGCUGCAAAGGAAAGCGAAAGGCAAGGAGGGGACGCGUGGGGGCAAUCCCGAGCGUAUCGGCCGCGCAGGGAGAAGCCGCUUUCCCGGCGAUCGGUGGCGGAUUCGGGAGGAGACCGCGAAGCGAUCGCAUCCUGCUGCUGCAGCUGCUGCUGAGGGUGGGUGGGCUCCGAUGCGAUCCGUCGUCCAAACGAAGAAAGAGACUGGAUCUCAUCGUGUCCAGUGGCCAGUGGUAGCUUGGCUGUGGAUGAUGUCGAUGGGAGCUAGCUGCAGACGACUCCCAUCGCGUCCGUUGCUAACAAGCCAUAUAUGUACUCUAAUCUCUUGGGAUCACAAAUUUACAAGCAAGUGGUUACAGGCUACAGAAGCAGCACAUUGUUUUUUACCUUUUUUUAUUUAUACUAACGACAACUUGGUUAACUGAUGAUACCUGAGGAACUCACCAAAUCGCCAAAACGGAUCGUCCGUAUCUUUCACCCUUUCAGGUCACCACGGCAAGCAGACAAACCAAGAACUCAAAGCCAGAUAUGAUAGCAGUAGGAAAAGAGGGAUGGAACAAAAGGAAAUGGUGGGUGAACCCUUUUCUAUCUGCAGUCUGCUCCAGAAUACAGAGAGGAGGAGGAGGAGGGGGUCCGGCUCAUGAUGCUGUUGCCUGCCCGGGUCUCUAUUCUAUUCUGUUGCGGAUGGAGUCAAUUCGUGGCAAGAUUUGGAGCAAAUCCGCCCCCGGAUCUUGCUUUUCCAUGCGGUGGGAUUUUCUUAGUCACCACAUAUCUUUCCUCUCCCCCUUCGCUUUCCCUCAUAUCUCCUGGAAUCCUUUCAUGUGCCUCAGUGCUUGUAUAUAUACCAACUCAACCACACCCUUAAAAAAGGCAAGCAAAGCCCCAUACCAAGCACACGCACCUCUCUGCUUUUAGUUUCCUCUACAACUCUUCCUCUCUGCAGCUGCUCAUACCAUCAUCCUUCCUAGUCAGACACAAGAACACGAGCAGGGGGAGUUUCUUCCAUGGCGGUGGCCACGGAGACUCCGUUCCACGUCCUGGCCGUGGACGACAGCCUCCCAGACAGGAAGCUCAUCGAGAGGCUCCUCAAGACCUCUUCAUUCCACGUCACCACUGUCGAUUCCGGGAGCAAGGCUCUCGAGUUCCUGGGGAUCCAUGGCGAGGACAGCAGCCCAGUUUCUGUUCAUGAGGAUCAGCUGGUAAGGAGAUGGGUUCCUCUUUUUAUGAUAUGAGUUGGUAAACCAUGUGUAGUGGUGCUCCUAAUUUGAGGAAAGGUUUCUGAUGUAUUUUGGUUCUGCUACUGCUUUGUUGAUAAUCAGGAGGUUGCGGUGAAUCUGAUAAUCACAGACUACUGCAUGCCUGGCAUGACAGGAUAUGAUCUGCUCAAGAAGAUCAAGGUAACUGGCAUAUUCUCUCUAGUGUUUCUUGGUAUGAUCUGCUGAAGAAGAUAGGACCUAAAAAAAAGAUGUAUGCUUGCUUUGUUCAAGCAGGAAUCAUCGUCUCUAAGAGAUAUCCCUGUGGUGAUCAUGUCGUCCGAGAACAUUCCUUCAAGGAUCAAUAGGUGAGAAUUCUUAUGAAUUAUUUCAGAUUAUCUCCUGAUUUUUGAAGAACAAAUCAAACUCAAAUGUGAAGAUAUACUAAUCAGUGGCUGAGUAGAACUGUAGAAGUAAGUCAAGAAACCAAAAUUGCCGUUUAACAAAAAUAUUAGAAAAUUACUUCAUGAUUAGAGAACUUUUAGAGAGUUAAAGUUCCUUUUCUUCUGUAUGGAGGCAUAGAAAUGAAUAUGUUUAGCACCAAACUGGAUAUGGAAAUCUCUCCGAAUCCUUAGUGAUUUGGCGUCACAUGUGUUGUAUAAUAGAGGAACCGCCCCACACAUGACACAGCUCACACCGUCCUACUAUAAUCUGGACAUAUCUGGUGUAAAAUAACAAAAAAAGAUAGGGAAUGAUACGCAUACUGAUCUUGUAGAUCUUCCAUAUUGCCGCAUCCAUGAAACAGGUUUAUUGAUGCAGACAGCUCACUAGCACCACUCGUCUUUAUCUGGGUUUAUUCUAUUUCUAGUUGCACGAGACACAAGUGGAGGAAAAAUAUAUUCAGAGGGCAUUAAAGUCAAACUCAAGAAAGAAUCGAAAGAUAUGAUAUCCGUAAACAAACGUACAGAUAGAAACAAAAAAAAGUAAAAAAAACUUAUGUGCAUAUUGAUCUAGGUAAAAUCACUGACCCAAUUUUCAUGAUAUUUUGAAUCAGAUGCCUGGAAGAAGGAGCGGAUGAGUUUUUCCUAAAACCAGUGAGGCUAUCAGACAUGAGCAAGCUGAAGCCCCACAUACUGAAAAGCAGAUGCAAGGAGCACUACCAGGAACAGCACCAGCAAAGCGACAGCAACAGCAACGAAUGCAGUAACCCCACAAACGACAGCAGCAGCAGCGAUAACAGCAGCAGCCGCAAGAGAAAGGCAGAAGACAACGAAGUUUUGCCCCAGACAAACAGAUUAAGGCACAGUUAGUUAGCUGCAAACUGAUUAUAGGAAGAAUUAGCCCCCUUUUUUCUCCCUUUAUUCUUUGUUUUACUUAGCUUUUGGCAAGCUAAUUUGUAACACAGAUGUUAGCCCUUGAUUUGCAAAAUAUAAUGGAACCCGUAAACCGGAUACUGAUAAGAUCGAAUCAAGAAAUUUUGCAGCACAUUUCUGGUAUCAGAUGACAGCUGAGAUAGCAGUUUAACAGGCCAGUGGACAGAACGUGUACCAUACUUUCUAAGGAACAUCUGCUGACUCUCGGAUAGUCAGAUAGCUUACAACGAAAUUAGUUUCCUACUUACGAAAAUAGUUUCUUACUGUUUUUAAGCUUAGACUUUAAACGAGUACUCACAUAGGACAAUACAGUAGAGUAAUAACUUAGCUGCAAGACGAUUUUUUACCAAUACCUUACAGCAAACUCAUCCUACACAGGCCUAGAACUAGAAGGGCAAGAUAAUCUGCCGACGAGUUAUUUUUACUAAUUGCUUAGGAGACCAUCCAUCGAAAGGCACCAGGGCCUCAGAAAAUACACCUGUACGUCACAUGGUUCCCGGUAAGCUCACUGUCAUACGUAACUUUGACAACGGUUCCCUUGCCAAGGCCGUGGUAGCGAGCAACAGCAUCAGUUUCCAGCAUGCGGGGCAGCUGAAAUAUACAAGACAGGAACCAAUUUCAGUAAAGAGGCAUGGAUUUACUUUGCAAGAAGUUGAGCUAGCUCUAACAAACGAAACAUCCAAGGAUAAAACCCAAGCUUAUAACAAAUGGAAAUUUGCACUUCAGGCAUGUUAAGAAUCCACUAGCCAAAAGAAAUGAAAUGCAGUAUCCCACGACAAGUCAACAACUAUAGACAUAUUGUUGAACACAAUUUUAAUUUAUGAUUUGCAUACCAUUAUGUAAGGAGCAUACGAAUAAGAAAUUGAGAACCCACACAAAUAGAACCUGAAAUAAAUUUGACAUUGCAACCAAACAUAUUUUCUUCAUAUAUGAUAGCAGCACUCCCACUAUGGAAAUUGGGAGGAUCACCAGUUUCAAUGCCAUCAUGUUACAUUGCAAUACAACAUCAAGAGCACAAUAUAAAUGGUGGAAUAUCAAUAUUUCCAUGUGACCAAGGCACUAAGUACGGUAAAUUCAUAAUUUAUCGACAAUCUCAAUCAUCACAUCCAGAAAGCACACCAAGAGUUUGACUCUCCCUUAUGGCCAUGAUCAUGUUGCAAACAAGAUCAAGUGCUGAAAUUAUGGUGUUGCAUACAGCAAGUAUCAUGAAAAGCAACAGGCUGCAUCGUUGCACUCCACAAGAUGUAACAAAGAAGGCUACAAAACUAACAUAGCACCAUAACUUACAACGCCAGUACAACAAAGCAGUAAGAAAUUAUAAAGUAACUUCAACAAAUUAUAGAGGAACACACCUGUGAAUCCACCACAUUGUACUCCUUCAGGAGCUUGGCUUUCUCCUCUGCAGUCAACACUUCAUGCUUGGGCUUCAAGACAUGCUUAGUGAUGUUCACCAGCAAUUCCGUGAUCUACAUUGGAACAGCACAUUGAUUUGAACGUGAAUAUUGAUCUAAGAUAUCUCUUCAGGAAAAAAUAAUAUUAAUAUAAGAUAAAACAGAAAAAUAUCAACUUUACGUGAUGAGAGUUAUAAUGCUGCGAAUGGACACUUGAUAUCAAGAUCAUAACUUGCAUUAGAACAUAUAGUGAAAUUAAGAUUCCAUAUUGUAGCCAGUACCAUAACUGAUGCAUACAAAGUCAACAGAAGCUACUUGCUAUUAUUUUUAGGUGAUGGGUACUGUAAUUACAAACAAAAAGACUGAGAUAAUCCCUGUUGUUGCUCACUUCCAGAAACUGAACAAAAUGUCAAGAGCAUCCAAUAGAUUAGAUAAAACCUAACCUGGAAUGUGUCAACUUUAAAUGGGAAGAUCUCCUUGAUAGAUUCUCUGGAUUUAGACGUUAUUUUGCUCUGCAAUAUCAGGAUCAAUCUAGACAAGUUCUCUUCUUGGACUCUGCUAUAUAUCUCCCGGAUAACUGCAAUUUUGACAGGUUCAGGUGGACAGAACACAACUUUCACCUGCAUAACACAUGGUUCAGAUCUAUUAUUUACUCAUCUGUAACAAGAACGAUAGAACCACUUUAUGCAUGAAAAGAUAAGAGAUAAAAGCACCCAUACAGUCAUAUGUAUGCAGUCAUUGAACUUCUCUAGAUGAGUAAACAAUAAAUUAAACAGUUUACCAUUCUACUUGCAAGAAGAGGCCAACCCUCAAUCAUAACCACAAGAACAAUAAUAUUCCUAGAUCAUACAGACAAUGACACGUUCACACCUGAAUUGGUGAGAAAGGGUAUGAAAGAAACAAUACCCCUCUUUCUUUCUUUCUAACUAUUCAGUUUUGCAGUGCCUCUUGUCCACAAUGCAUAUCUCAGCACAACUGGAUUCCAGUACAAAUGAGUAAUCGGGGUAGGUUUCCUAAUCAUGAGUAAUAAAGCUUGGCCUGAUGGUCAGGACAAGAAUGCAGUUCAAAUCGCGAGCUAGUAGAACAGGAAUCUAACCCUAAUGGAAGAACAAGAACAUCUGGAAGCCCACCGGCGAUGUCACGGGGGGGGGGGGGGGGGGGGGGGGGGGGGGGGGGGGGGGGGGGGGGGGGGAACCAAAGAAAAAAAAACCCACCUUACUGGACUGGUCGGCGGCGAGGGCGGUGGAGAAGGCGAGGCGUUCGAGCUCGGGCUUUUCGGCCCACCAGGCGCGGAACUCCGGGAGUGUGCGCGCCAGCUCGGCCUCCGGGACGCUGUACCCGCGGUCGCGGAGCAUCUCCAGCGCGGUGCGGCGCGCCAGGAAGAGGCGGUGGCUCUCGACGCUGCCCCCGCGGUCGAUCAUGGACGAGAUGCAGGCGGGUACCUCGGGGACGGCGUCGACGUCGUCGUCGGCCGGGGCGGGGUCGGCGGCGGCGGCGGCCGUGCUCUCCGCGGAGUCCAUUUCUCCUGUUGGGUGGAGUUGGGCCUUUGGGUGGGGGAGUGGCGACUGGGGCGAAGGGGAUAUCUAAGAAAUAUCGCUCCUUCAAAAAUUAUUUUUAAAAUUUAUAUAUAUAUUUUUGCUACCGGAGAGAUGUUUCAGUUACAAAAUCAUCAUUUUAGCCACCGUGACGCGCCACGUCAUGAUCCCACACUGGACUCCUCUUGCGAAAAGAUCCUGGUGCCCCUACCUUAUCCUCUAGUCCUUGCACGGCAAGGAGGAAGAAGAUGACGCCGCCGGGGCAAAGUGUACGGCAGUGGCCGUGAAGGUGUUGGGUCGCAAUGUGGCCGUGGAUGAGGCCCGGUUCGCCCGUGAGGUGGAAAGGAUCAGCGGCGUGAGGCACCCGAACCUAGCGGCGCUCGUGGGAGCGUGCCCAGAGGCACGCGCCGUCGCGUACGAGCUCGUCCCGGGCGGGAGCCUGGAGGACCACCUCAACCUCACUGCUGUCGGCCGCUGCAGCUUGCCUUGGGGCACGCGUUGCGGCAUCGCGUACGGGGCAUGCUCCGCGCUGGCCUUCCUCCACUCCACCUCCUCUGUGCCGCCAUUGGCAGACGUGAGGUCGGCGAGCAUCCUCGUGGUAGGGUCCUCCUCGUGAAAGCUGGCCAGGCUCGGCACGCGCAGGCUUGUCGUUGACCACCCCGGGGGCGCGUCGUCGAGGCUGGCGCUGGUAUACGCGGAACCAAGCUACCUGGUGGCGGGGGAGGUGCAGCAGUAGCAGUGCGAUGCCGACGUGUACUCGCUGGAUGUGGUGCUCCUUCAGCUGGCGCAUGGUUUGGCUGGAGGUGGAAAACGAGGGUGGGUCCCGAUAGGUGAACAUCGUCGUCACCGCGCCGCGCGCACGAGGCCAAGCGCGAGGAGCAGCGUGACGCGGCAGUGCUCAAGGAUAGGGCCAUGGAGCAGGAGAUCCAGAGGAGGGAGGGCGUGGAGGAGCGGCUACGCGUCGCGGAGCGGGCGGUGGAGGAGCAGCGGGAGCGCGCGGCGGAGCCUGCUGGACCUGAAGCUGGGUGGGCCGACGAGCUGGAGGUGGAAGAAGGAUGGCUCCCACCAGUCGUAGAGAUAGGAGGGAGGAAGAGAGCAAACACACAUACUUGGAGGAAGAGAUGCAGGAGCAGGAGGGUCAUUUUACAUGGCGAAUCCAUGCUGGCACAAUGAGGUGGCUCGACACAUCAGCAAAAAUGAUGAUUUUGUAACUGAAACUUCUCUGCGGUGGUAAAAAUGUAGAUAAAAUUCUAAAAAUGAUUUUUGAAGGAGCGUCAUUUCUUACAGUAGCAAAUAAUUAGAUAUCCCGGGGCAAAGGGGAAAGCGAGUAGUGUGCAAAUGAUGAUGUAACACGUUCGCUCUCUUGAAGUUAACACGUCCAAUUUUGGUUUAUGAUCAUGUCAGCAAAAAAAAAAGCCUAAUACUCCCUCCGUUCAAAUUAUAAAUCAUCUUAAUUUUUUUCUAAUUUUAUAAAUAUUAUUAUGCAUCUGAUCAUACUGUGCGUUUGCGUGAUUCCUGCAGCUGAAGUCGUUGGCGACCAUGCAAGUCUUAGUAACUUGGUCACUGGUGAAAGCCUACAUUUCUAGUGAAUCUUGUCACGAGUAACAAAGUGGCAAUUUCUAGCAGCGUGAGUGCGUGACUGCGUUCUGUCAAAAACAAAACUAUAAAGGAAGGAUAAACUUUGUUGGUUCGUUACAUGAAUCGUGAAACACCAAAAUGCCCGUCCAAGAGGGAUAUACCAAAUUGUGGUCACGUAGGUUUGCCCCCACCAUGGAUGGAGAUUUAGCACAACUAAGUUUUUAUAAUUUCUCUCGUCAAACUAUGGUUGUGCUUACUUCAUUUCCUUUUAACCAAUAUUUUUCAUGUGUUCUCAGUCUUGGGCUGAAAUUGUAUAUAGAGGCCGGAUUAAAUGUUUUCGUUAAAACAGAAAAAAAAACAAACAGAAUGGCACAGUAGACUGAGUGGCCUGACAAGCCCAGGUGCUUUGCCCGCAAAAAAAGCCCAGCAGAAUGCCCAGCAGACCUGCAUGCAGUUUAGAACAUGAGACAGUCUUGUUGCUUGGAUGCGAGAAGAUUCCUGUUGAUCAAGCUUUCACGGCUCGUCGCUUCUGUUGAAUUUGAGGGGGAGCUGAAAGUUUCUGUGGCAACUAAUGAUGUUUGGCAAUCUGCAUCAUAUGGCGGUUAACAAUCCUGUCCUGUGUGCACGCCAUCCGUAGCCAAAUGAGACACUUCAAAGUUCAAACGAUGGGGAAGUGUUCUGGCCAAAUUUGGGGUGAGAAUAACUAUAGCAAGAUUUAGAACAGGAUUUACUUCCAGUGUUAACUGCAGCACAGUUGCAAAAUUAGGGUUGAAAAAAAAUGUGCUGUAAAGUUUUAGCUUGUUCCUGCUACUGAUGAAUCAUCAAUAUAAUUUUUUUGACGGUAUGAAUCAUCAAUAUUUGUUCUCUCUCACUUUAUUUCGACUGCCAAAUCCCUAAUCAAAUUUGAUUUGACAGAUCAAAGCAUCAUGAUAGCAAUAGAGUUACAAACUGUGAAGGAGAAGGACCUGCUGCAACAACCGUAUCGCUUUAGAGCCUAACAACGGGAUGGAGCACUAAAACUCCAAAAACCCAACAGCUCAGGCAUGGUAGUUUUGCUCUUUUUGCUCUUCAUCAAGGGCCACCAACAGAACGGCAAGUUAUGUGUCUUCGCGCUUCAGCAUAUUUUACUUAACAGGCUCCAGCACUGGGAACAGCUUCUCCAACUUUGCAUUUGAUAGAACCUUGUUGGGGUCCAGCUCCAUGCGUGCCUUGUUAUAUGCAUCGACAGGGAAACGCUUCCUCAGCCUGGCCUGGAGCUCAGCUAGUUCGUCUCUGUCCUUCGGAACCUAGACAGAAAUGGUGACAGAAUAAUCACCAGGCAUGAAAUUGUUGCAAAUAAAUAGCUCAGCAAGGUAAGGGUGCAAUGCAAGUGAUGGGGUCAUUCUCUUGAAAUUAACCAGCCCGAUGUUAUUUUCAAUCAUACGUUCAAACAAAGUCUGCUAAAGAACUGGAAUAAUGUCUGCUGUCUGCAUAGAUCUUAAAACCAGCAGUAGAAGUUGGUACCUCAAUUUUUGCCCAGUGUUCAUAUGCAGAAUAAUCAUCCCAGAGAGUUUGCGCCAGGUUCCUGUAAUUGAAGAACUCCUCCGUAAUUUCCUUCCUUUGGCGAGCAUCUGAUGUUGGCAAGUACAUUAUAAUACCGACCUGCAUAGAUCCCAGUAAGUUGGUCACUGAAGUUUAUACAUUGGUGCAAAAGAGAACCAGGUUUUACAGGCUGCGCAUGGCUAAUGAUUUAUUAGAGAUGCAGGAGUUGCAGAACUUUCCAAAGCAGUUCAGAGUUGUAACGUGCAUCUGUUUCAGUAUGUACGUGAUUGUCUCAGAAACAUGGGAAAGAUAACAAUCACAAUGGAACAAUUUGGUAAUAUCAUCUACACUGAAGAAAGGAUUUUCCCAUAUAUUUGUCAAUGUAGGAAGAAGAGAGCAAGUUCUACUGCUAUAUUUUGCAGAAAUGAUCAGAAGAGAGCACAACUGAAUUGUAAAAUAUUUUUCAAACCAAGUAUUCAGCACCGAAAUCAAUGGUAAACAAAUUAGUAUGAUAUGCAAAAGAUCUUUUAGGUAGGUAAGCAACACAUAUUAGACAUGCAAAAGUUUAAAAAAAUCUAUGGAACAAGAACAAAUUAAGUACCCAUGAAAACACAUCUUCUUCAGAGCUUGAUGCGGGGCUCAUUGGACUCUUGCUGCGGGCAGUCCAACGCUGCUCAAUUGGUGCAGGUGCGGGUAUAUCUUCCUUUUCAAUCAACUGCAGCAACUUCUCUAUAUAAUCCAGAUCCUUUGUACUUGGCUUUGCUAGGGUUCCUGUGGGGAAGCAGUUUUCAGAAACCCACUGCUGCCCACCACAAUCAAAGCCCAGUAUUUCAUCGCUCCAGCCCAUGCGAUACCCUUCAGACUUUUUCCAAUACUCAGCUUCUGCUUUAUUGACUUUCACCACAUGAUCUUUAUCCAGUGGAUCAAGGGCAAGCAGCUUAUCUCUCAGUUCAGUAAAUGAAAGCGUAUCUACUUCCGGGUCAUUACUUUCUGUUUCAGUUCUGAAAAGCAUCUAUAAGGUGGAGCAAGAAAAAAAACAAAUACUAUUGCUGAAUACAGCUAAAUUCCACUGAAAACUACAUAAUUUAAAAGUUACAUCAUUUGAGUAGAUCAAAUGACUCCAACAUCAUUUGUGUAUGCCAGUUGACUGCAUAAAACAAUAAUUUGAUUUUCCAUGCAUAUGGCUUUAAAAGUAAAGGAACUGAAUGCGGUUCUAUAUUUGUAUAUUAAUUAAGUAAAUAGCAGCCAGAAAGCACCACCUUACACUUCUUGCAUCACCAUUUUUUUUAGUGAAGGCAAGGGAAACAUCCCUUACUAAUUUCAAUUAUAGAAACACAUAGAACAUCCAUCGAGUCUUACAUAGAAAUGAAAUAUUCAUCUGAGAGUAAUAAGCAAAAGCAAACUCCUAAGAGAAAAACAAAACUAGCAGGUGCACCCACAAACUGCCAUCUUUUCAACUGAUAAUGCCUAAGUGCUACUGCACCUGUAUCAUUCAUGUGGAAAAUACAGUUCAUCCAACUGGAAUCACCUCUUAUUUCUGCAUGAUGUUCAAUAAAGCGAAGAAAACCUAAGGAAGAACUGGACAGACUCACACUGAAAUUGUGUAGGACAAACUAGAAUCUAAAUUGACACAACAGUUUCAAGAGUACAAUUAUAAUUAUUAAUGUCAAUUCAAUUUCUAAGCAAGAGAAUAUUUAUCUGGUUCUUUGGUAAGAGAAUAGCAAGUAAAGAUGCAUUUGCAUAUAGAACAACAUGGUAGCCUAAAAAUUUGGGUUAUCAAACCACAACAAGUGUGCGUACCUAUAUUUUUUCAGUGACUCCCGAUAGAGGUUACGAACAUGCUGUAAAGCUUCAUCCUUUCCAUAUUUUGAGGUCAACUUUGGGGUUUUCCACUUUGAGGGAGGAUUACAUCGGACAACAACAACUGUGUCAGUAUAUGGAAUCCACAAGUACUUAAUAUGUUUGUUCUCAGAGAGCCACUUCCUGCAAAAGGCAAGAAAGGAAGAAAUCUGAGGAUUUUACAACUGCACAGGCAAACCAAUUGAAUAGUUACAUAAAGCUUGACAUAACGAAACAUUACUUGUGGUUUUUCUUGACUUCAUCUGCAUUGGAAACAAAUGUAUGUUCCACAAGCUGGUGCCUUUCUACACAUUGAAGAGUAACUUCUGCGACAACACCUAGGCCACCAAGUCCACAGCGAGCAAGAUAAAAUAACUCAGGAUCCUUCUCCCUCGAUAACUCUAUGGUGCCUUUGGCAGGGGUAACCAGUUUCAUGCUAAUGACUUGCUCGUCAACAGGAGGCAAUCUGGCACCAGUGCCAUGGGCACCAACCUGCGUCCAAUCAUGAAAAAAACCAUAUAUUAAUUAGGCCUGAACUCAGUAAGUUACAAUUAUACAAUUUCAAAGGAAUACUAGGACCGACUACAACAGGAGCUCUCAGGCAUUAGGAUGGUUUCUUGCAACAGACCUGAAUGAAGCCUCCGACCUGCUGCUCCCUAAUGGACGCGAAAUUCUGCAGCGUGAGUCCAUGUUCCCGGAGCGCGUCAACUAGCUCUGCAACACGAAUCCCCGCCUGCACCGUGACGGUCUUCUUCUUCACGUCGACGUCGAGCACCUUGUCCAUGAGCGCGAGACUGACCAUUCCGGCGCGGGAGAGACCGAUCCCAUUGGGGGACAGCCCGGAGCCAAGCGGCCUGAGCUUGCGGCGCUCCUUGUGGGCGGUGGCGAGCGCGUCCUCGAGGGCCGGGAGGGAGUCCGGCUGGAGGAGGACGCGGGCGUGGACCUCGUGGGUGGCGCUCCAGUUGGAGACGGCGUGGAGGUCCUCGGGGAGCGGCGCGUACUUGAAAGGGACGGCCUUCUUGUGGAGCGCGUCGGCGGGUAAGGGGAAGGAGUAGUAGGUGGCGGCGCCGCAGCCGAGGAGGAGAAGCGCGUAGCCGGCGUACUUGCGGAGGUCGGCGUCGGAGGAGACGGGGGAGGGGGCGGAGGAAAGGGCGCAGAGGAAAGGGAGGUGGUGGUGGUGGUGGUGGUGGUGGGAGGAGGGGCUACUGCCGCGGCGGAGGAGGAGGCGGGAGAGGAGGAGGUGCCGCAUCGUCCUCGUCCUGUUGGACGGCGUGGUGCGGCGAGGGGAGCGCGUGGAGUGAGUGGUGGCGUUGGGGGGAACGGGCGGCGCCGGCAGUGGCCACCGCACCAGAUCGCGAUGGGUUUUACAUCUUGAAUGAGAUUUAUCAGGGCAUGUACAACCCUCAGUGAGGUGUUCGUCUCUGUACAGACAGGUAUAAAGAUAGGUCAUACAACCCACAGACAGGGAUCUGUCUCUAAACUAUUUAAUGCUUUGCAUGUAGUUAGGAUCAACUAUAUAUAAAUUUUUGUAUACCAUCAUGUGUCUAUUUUAUAGAAAAUGUAUCAUGGAUAAAUAAGAGCAACAUGAUUACAAUAUUUUAAAAACCAUCAAUAUAAUAAUUAUAUUUCAUAUAGAUGCAACGUCUUUUAUCUAAUUUCUUUUGUUUCCAUAGCGUUGCCAUAUGUGCUCGAUUAGAUCCUUCUUGAGUUUCCUAUGUGUUGGCCGGGCUUUAAUAGUAGAAUUUCUACGAAGUACCUCUGCAAAGGUAUGAUUAGGGUUGUCGCUUGUACGCACUUCAGGUGGGAGCACUAUCGUUGCACUUGGAUUCUCAUUCAAAUCCAAGACUUCUCUAAUUGAAUCCUUCUCAUCUUCCACUAUCAUAUUGUGAAGGAUAACACAAGCUUGCAUUAUGUUAAUAACGUGCCCCUGCUUCCAUAACCUUGCUGGUCGACGAACAAUAUCAAAGCGUGAUUGCAGCACACCAAAUGCGCACUCGACAUCUUUCCUCGCCCCUUCUUGCAUCAGUGCAAAUAAUUUGUCUUCCGCCGAUUGAGGGGCUGCCACUGUCUUCACAAAUACUGCCCAUUCUGGAUAUAUUUUAUCGGCAAGAUAAUAACCCAUGUCAUAUUGUGUUCCAUUUACAUUAUAGUGUACCGCAGGAGUUUCCCCUUUUAUUGAUUGAAUGAACAGUGGUGACUUGUUUAGAACGUUUAUGUCGUUCUGAGACCCGGCGGUACCAAAGAAAGCAUGCCAUAUACGAAGAUCCCGAGUUGCCACCGCUUCGAGGAUCAUAGUAGGAACGCCUUUAUCACCACGUGUGAACAUGCCUGCCCAACCUUUCGGACAAUUCUUCCAUGCCCAAUGCAUACAAUCGAUGCUUCCCAACAUUCCUGGAAAACCACGAGCCUCAUUUUCUCGCAAUAUUUUUUCCAGUUCAUCGCUUCUUGGAGGGCGUAGAUAUUCUUCACCGAAUUUUUCAAUCACCUCUUCAGCAAAUUUUUCCAAAAUCUCCAAACAAGUGCUUGCAGCUAUCUUUAACACCUCAUCAAGUUGAUCAGCCAAGGUUCCAUAAGCUAGCAUCCUGAUAGCUGUGUUACACUUUUGAAGCGGUGAAAGUCCAUUCCUACCAGUAGCAUCGGGUCUUUGGGUGAAAUAAGGAGACCAAUCAUUGAGUGCAUGCACGAUACGUAAGAAUAGCGGCUUAUUCAUCCUAAAUCUCCUACGGAACAUCUCAUCGGUGUAGAUAGGAUUUGCAGAAAAGUAAUUAGCGACAAGAUCAUCAUGAGCUGCUUCUCGAUUCCUUGGUAUGUACCUGCGCGGUCCAGUUUGUUGGCGAUGGCGAGAUACUGUUGAUGCUUCUCCAUCGAUAUAGGCCUUCAAUUCCUCUUGUAUCAUAUCUUCUAAGAUUUCAUCCUCUGCUAGCAUAUCUUCUACGGUGAACACCUCUGCAGGAUCAAAUUCCUCGGCAUCUUGCACCUCAUCUUGCUCCAUAGGAACUAACUAGAGUGGAAAAUGUACUGCUCUGCGGUGAACAAGAGUGGAAAAUGUACUGCUAUGUGGUGAACAUCUUGCUCCAAUUUAUAGUGACAUGUUUUGCGGUGAAAAUGUACUGCUCUGCUCACAUUCCUGACAGCAUUCACAUUCCUGAUAGCAUUCACAUUAAAAUAACACUCGCAAUGACAUGUUCACACUCACAGUGACAUCCACAGAUUAGCACUACGCAUUCAGAUGACAUUUAGAUGACAUUCACACUCACAAGAGCACUACGCAUUCAGAUAGACAUUCACAUUCACAUUUCAGUAAACGUGACAGUAUAUGGGAAGUUUAGAGAGACACCACAUUCACAUUCAAAUUACAGUAUAUGGGAAGUUUAGAAAGACACCACAUUCACAUCGAAAUGGCAUGUUCACUAGUAGGUGGUCAAACUCUUCCCAGAUUCUGCAUCCCUUCUGUUCUAGCAUAGGCACUCAGAUUCCUGCAGUACCUUGUCACAGUGCCAAUGGAAAUAAGAUCAGAAUGCUUGUCACACAGUAAGUAGCUCAUGAAAUAAAUUAACACAGUGCCAUGAAAAUAAAUAAGCUCAGAUAGCACUUGUCAACAUACAAAAUUAACACAGGUUCUGCUUCCAACACUCAUAUAACACUCAGAUUCAAUGACAUGUUCAGAUAAAAGAUAGCGAUGACAUGUUCAGAUAAAAGAUAGCAAUGACAUGUUGCUCAAGUUACCUGUUCAGUCACUUUCAGGAAAAAGGGCCUUCCUAAGACACUUCAUGGCAGCAACUCACUCCGCCUUUUUCACAUCAGACAUUGAACUUGUAUCUUGUAAUAUGAGGUUGUUAUAAGCCUCCAUCAUCUUUGAUUCUUUCUCAAGCUUCUUUCCCUCUUUGGUCUCUUGUGUAGUAAGGUGAACAAGUUUUGUGGUCUCAAGCUUCUCAAAUGAUAGCUUCUGCUGCAGUUCCAAUAUCUUCAUACGGUUUGCAUUUGUUUCCUCCUGGAUUUUGCUUAAUCUACCUAAUUUAUCUAGAUCAAUGGUAGAUUCCUUUGAGUUACCAUCAUCUUCGCUGCUGGAGCCUUUUGACUUGCCUUUUGCCGCUAGAGCUGCCUUUUUAGCUGCCUUUUGACCCAUUGGUCGAUUUGGCAUCUCUUCCAAACUUUCAUCAUUUUCCUGAUCCCUUUCUUCUUUAAGGUGAAAUGAUUUCCUUUUACGUGCAUUCCUCAGCUCUUCAUUGUAUGUUUUCCACUUUGACACUUCUCGACAAAUUUUCCAAACCUCAAUCCCAACAAAGGGUCCUAGUUUUGCAUCUUUGUUGUCCUCCACAUAGAACUUGUGGGCUGCAUCAAUCCACAUUUGAUCGGAAUAUCCACUUGUAAACACUCUGCGAGCCUUUACAUAAGCACAUUCAAAGAUGUCCGUCCACCUAUUAAUCUUGUGCCAUCUAUCCUUGCAUUGCUUCAGAUUUCUCUUUCGAAGUGGUGGGGUAGUCUUGUUGUAGGAUUCAACAACCUCAUCCCAAUACUGGUUACCACCCUUAUCGGCUCCACAGGUAGAGUCUGCUGAAUGUUCUAUCCAAGCGCUCAUCAAUCUAAGAUCCUCUUCCUCUGUCCAUAGGAUCCUCUUCUCAGUCCUAACAUUGUCAUUAUCAAGUAAUAUUUCUACUUCAGGCUGUGAACUUGCAUCAUUGUUGGUAAACAGAAGUCUAUUCAAAGGGCUGUUGUGAAUAGGUGCACCAACCAAAUGAAAGUUGUGUGGCUGAUUUCCGAAGUAGCUCAUGAAACCACCAGAUGGACGUGGAUCUUUAUCCCUGCAGGAAACAAACAAUAACCACUAUGUUUUAGUUCAAACAAUAACAUAGUUCAAUGGAGGAAUACAUUAGUACUUCAAUUGAUAGACAUGGUCACAAAUACGCAAUUGAUAAUCAAUUAAACGGAACUGAUUUGAAAACAUCUCCUGUUACUUCUGAUGCUCAUCAUUAGUAAACUAGCUAGAUAAUUCAGAUAGAAGGGGUCAAUGCUGCAGGUCUCAGAGUUCUCCCAUUGCCAACAUAAAUAAUUUAGGCAUAUGAUGAAUGAACAGAGAUGAACUAAAAUGGAUUGUGCAGCAGUAACUAAACAAAGGCACUCCAUUCUUAUGGUAGGAUUACUAGUUCACAACAUAUCAUUCAUACUACAUGGCAGAGACAUUUGAUCAGGCAGACCAUUUCAGGUAAUCACCAGUUAACAUUAAAUGGCAGACAUCUGAUCAUACUGUAUUGCACCUGUUGAUUUGGCAGGGAUUGUUGACUCUGCAACUUCAAUUGCAUAUAUUUUCUAUGAUCGUCUUCUUUCCUUCUUAAAUGGCUAUUAAGUUUACCUUUUUUUAUCUGUAUAAAUACAGUUGCUACCUUGCAUUAGGCAAUCUUGAAGAUGCCUCAAGGAACUACAUGUCCUGUUUGAACAGUAACACUUUGAGUUCUGACCCCAAAAUGUUUACUGAAGCUUCUAAUGGUUUGGAAAAAGUCAAGGUAUCUUCUGUCUUGUCCUUUUUGUUUAUAGCAGACACAUCUAAUAUUCACUAUUUUUAUUUUUUACAUUUCAUCUCUUUUUUGUUGUUAAAUUUGAAUUGAUUUUCUCUAUGUUCUAGAAUCCAUAAAUCAUAGUACGUGGUAAGUAUGCAAUGCAAUUGUUUUUAGUUAGAAAGACUUAUUAGUUGUUUAUUUAGUUCCCAAAAUUAUUCAGUACUUUUGAAAUAGUAAUGCUUCACAGAACUACAUAUGUGCUUCCCCCCAUUGCAAAUAUAACUCCAUAUGACUCCACUAUGGCAUCCACGUAAGCUCCAAUAUGACAUAUGGACUAGUAAGCUCCAAGGUCUGAAUACUAUAGUCCAUAAAAGUGACAGGCCAUUUUACAGAGAAUAUGUUUGUUACUGAAACUUGCAUGUCCAGCAUCACUCAACGCAUUCACAUUGAUGGUAAAUAUCUGCUUAUGUAAACAAGAAAAUUACUCAUGCAUUAUAGAACAGCUGGACUCCAGCAAAAGUUGCUCCAGCUCUGAAGUUUAUCUUGUUAAAAAAAGACUGAAGCAAAGAUAGUGAUACAAAGCAGUGUCUAGGGUCUGGUAAUAGAAACAUAUAAACUCACACAUGCAGUGAGGUUACUGGAACAAACAAGUGAAACAGAACAGAAACAUUCAACUAAAACUACCAGCUUUACACUCCCUGGCAAAGCCUCCAGAGACAACCUCUUCUGAGAUCAACACAACAAACAAAGCUUGGCAGCACCAUCAUGAUUACAGCAAUCGAGGACCACCACACAUAUUGCCCUCGAUUCCUCGAAUCAAUCACUGUGCAUUCUCUUCUCAAACUUGAAGUUUCUAACAGCACUAGUUACAUUCAGCUAGCGACAGACGGCUCUUCUAGGAACUACAAUAGGCUGAUCAAUUGGAGCACUACCACCAGGAAAACAAAUUUGCUGUCAGCUCCUGUUUUCACUAUAUUUUUCUUCAUUCAACUCUAGAGGUUUGACCAUAAAUCUAGCAGGGCCACUACUCCUCAGCCAUCAUAUUAGUUAGAUUAACAAAGUCAUAUAGCAGCUGAUGAAUCAAAAGAUAAAGUAGUGCUGGUACAAUUGAAAACAAUGUGCCCCUAACAGUCCAAUAAGAGGUGACAGUUGACUUGCAAGUAAAGUUCCUUUUCGUCGAUUCCAAUUGACCUGACAAAGCACGAACAGGCUUCUAGCUAGAGAACUACAGUUACCUAACUAACCUAAAUUCCCUGAAACUGAUCUUGAAUUAUGGUCAACUUUGCAACACUUCGGAUACACUAUUUCAAUUGUUGUUGCACUAAUUUAGCAAAUAAAAAUUAAAUGACUAAUCAAACAGUAAGUUGCAGUGACAAUCCAAAAAUGAACACAAGUACUGACAUCACUCCAUUUCAACAACAGAAAACAACUAAACCAUAGGCGACUCUGUUACACAUGUUGCUAGCAUAAAUCAUACCAAACUUGUAGUCACAGAUCUGAGUUUUGAGUGAUUACCAUGUUCCAGGAGAAGAGGGAUCGUUGCUGGCCGUAUCAAACCAAGCUUGAGACGGUGAGUGAGGGAACGGAAAUCCAUCUAUGCUGGGGAAGCCACCAACGCUGGAUCCAUCAAUGGAGGAUGGCGCUGUCGCCGUGCCCUUGUCGACACCACCGGUGGUUGGGCGGGUGCCUGCUGCCGCCGAGCUGCCGCCACGACCUAGAGAGAGAGCUGUCGGCGCCGAGAAGCCACCGCGAUCAAGGGUACGGGCUGGGGCUGCUGCCGCCGCAUCCAACACUGACGGUGUGGCCCCCUUCUUCUUCCUAGCUGCGACUGCCAUGGAGUUCGGAGGUGGAGAUGGAGGCAGAUUGGGGGAGCUGGGAGAUAUGACGGGGAAGAUGGAUUGGGCGCGAAAACUCCCGCGCGCGCCCAAAUCUCCUGCCACUGCGCGCCUCCCGCGCGGGAUCCGAGCGCGCCGUCGACUCUCGAGGACGAGGCCGUACAACGGAGCCGCCGCCGUCGGUUCCACCUCGGAGCACGGGAGAUGCCCGUCGCCUCGCGAGGCGACGGGGCGCGCGUCGCUUGGCUCGACGGGGGGGCUUCGUGAAAAAUGACCACGCGAAGAGACGAGAAAAAGACGCCGCUGUACGUGCCCUUAGUUGCGGUAGGUGGGCUUAGGUCCAGUCCAUUUGGUUAAAACUAGGCUAUCUUUUCGGAAAAAAAAUUAGACAAACUAGUUCUAUUUCAGCCCAAGAGAAUGAGAGAGAUGGCAUGCGCGUUGAUUGGACUUCGGCGAUGCUUGUACAUCCAAGAUGCACAUAGCCUACUGUAACUUUCAUUAUAAAGCCUUUCACCAUAUGAUAAGAAGAAAUAGGAAGUAAGCCUUUACACCGUAUUUCAAUUCUAGAAAAUUUAUUGUAUAUUUCAAUUCAUGUGUUUAAUUUAAUGUAUGGUUUCAUGUGUAUAUUUUACAAGUUUCUUUUAUUUCAUGAUUGUUCUAUUCAUAUUUAUACAUUAAUUGUACUACUUGGUACAUUUUUUAAUCUAAUGUAUCUAUGAUUACAUGUGUGUAUAGCUAAUAUCAUUAUUAGUUGAGAUGGGAGACGAAAAGGAUGCAAGUUAUAUAAUGGGGCAGAUUAUUACUGGCGGUAGUGGCUCAAACGUUCCAACAACAUACACCGAGAUGAGGGUAGCUAGGCGGACAUGUCCCUCAACAUGUUCAGUGAUGGCAAUGAUGAGCCCGAACACAACGUUGAUGACAAUACGGAACAAGACCUUGCCGUGAUGGAAGGUUUUGACGAGAUAUAUAUCAUUUUCAUUCUUUUACCCCAUCUAUAAUUUCAUAUUCAUAAUUACUAUGUACUAAUUAAUGAAUCUUGAACUUUUAGCCCUCUGAAUCGAUGAACCGAAAGAACCCACGAGGUCGUACAAAGAUAAUGAAAGGAAGACUUCACAUCACUGAAGUGAUAAAAGAGGGCCAGCCAAUUGCUCCCGAAAAAGUCGCUAGAAAGUUAAAUGUAGGGCUAUUGUAAGGGACAACGUGCCCAUCAGCAUUCAAGAAUGGAAGGGUAAAAAAGAUAAUCUAUAUGUGCUCCCGCAGACAUAGAAAGAUAUGAUUGUGGGUAGAUGUUAAGAAACACUUCACACUUCAUGAUGGCGUCGAUGAAAAAGUUGUGAAAGACUGGAUGCUGAAGAAUAUGGCAACCCUAUUCCAAACCUUUAAGAAGAAUCUGGAUGCCAACUUUAUCAGGAAGGGCCGAACUCCAGAUUUUAGUGACGAGUCAAAGUUAAGGGAUCACUGGAACUCAUUUCUAGAAUUCAAGAUGAGUAAAGGUAGUACAAACAAGAUUUGUGUCAACUCAACCAAUGUCCAGAAGAAGGAAUACCAUCAUCGCCUAGGGCGAGGUGGUUACAUGAGUGCAAUUCCCAAAUGAAGAAAAAUGGAACAAGAUCUAUUCGAUCGAGGUAUCAUACCAGCGACUAUUGACUGGCCUGAUCGAUCGAAGAAUUGGUAUUACGCUCACGGAGGCAACCUUAGCCAUAAGGAUGGGACACUUAUUUUCAACGAAACAAUACGUCAGAAGGCCCUCAGGCUUAUCAAAAGCAUUGGAGAUGCUAAAGCGGGAAAGUUGAAGGUUGAUAGAGAAAACGAUAAGCUGACUUUGGCGCUCGGGAAUCCCGAACACCCAGGACGUUGCUGAGGCUUUGGGGUCGUUCCGUGAAAGUUUGCUUUCCGUAGGGACAUUGACACGUACAGAAGCUGGAAGAGAAGAAAGGAGGCGCAAGAGGAGAGCUAGCGGCGCAUGUUAGAAGUCAAAGUGCAUGCACAAGAAGUAAGAAUGUAGGAAGAAAUUAAUCGGCGAGUGGCCCUGGCAGUUACUGAGAUGGCCCAAUCUGGAGCACUGCCGGAUCCCAACGUCAUCAUUAGCCUUUCUCAACGUCGAAGCAGCUGUGCUUUCACAGGGGUCCCCGAUGAGAACAUGCCAAGAUUUACCCGUGGUUGUGCAGGACAACCGACGGUACCCUGUGGAUGACAUUACUCAGCACACCUCAUGUGAGCUGUACAGACCAUUUGGCAACCUCACUAUUAAGGUAUACAUAUCUAUAAUUUAUACAAUUAUCUCGAUUGAUCCACGCCUUGGGAGUUUAAUAAUUUAUUUCUCCUAUAUGUACAGGUGACGUACGGAAGUGCUUUACCAAUCCUGCCAGGACAGACAAGCCAUGGCAUGAAGAUUCCACUUAGCUACUCCAGCGUUGGCCUAGAGCAGAUUUGUGAUAGUCAGUAUGAAGGCCUAGAACUCGACCUCCUGGGAGGUGACGAGGAAAGGACACUAGGAGAUGCACUUCACGGUAUCAUUCUAUGGCGCAAACGGUGCAUCAUCAUCAUCCCCGGCAAGGCAUCAUUGCUUCUCAUAGAUCCCUCGCAGAGAACAUCUCCUCAUAACUCAAAACUGUCAUCUCCAGCACAUCCACCUCCAGGACCGUCGUCACCACCGAGAUCGUCGCAUCCUGCUCAAUCACCAUCUCUAGCACCAUCGAAUCCUAGUGGUGCGAGCGACGACGACCAAAACACCCCUCCUCGAUCAUCGUCUGCAUCGCCGGGACUAAACUUUGGGGCGAGCAAGGAACUUGCAGCACCUCUCAAGAAGUCACGACCACCGCCUUCCAAGUCAAGGCAGCCAAAGGCGAAAGAACCUAUUAAGAAAACGUAGAAGUCUAAACCCAUUACAAUUUCUAAAACUGACUACUUCAUGGUUCAUGAACCCUCAGCUUCACAAGUUGGGAGAAAACAGGUUGUUGUGCUGAUAAAUUGUGCUCUUGUUCUGUCACCUUAUUUCGGCUAUGGCAAAUUCUGGUUGGUUAGGUUGCAGGAACUUUCUAUCUUGAACUUCUUUAGACCUCCCCCUCUCUUUUUAUCACCUCCUUUUCUGUUAUCAUGUAAGACUGCUAUUUCCACGCAUAAUGGAAAUGGAAGAGGCCAUAUUAAAAGAAAAAAAUUGCUACAUAAGCUGCCAAGAAACUAUACGGUUUAUCAUGAUUUGCUGGAAAUUGCAAAUCGUCAAGCUGAAAAUAUGGUUCCAAGGUUCUCUUUUGCAAGAGAAAGACCUAAGUGGAUGUCCUUUGUAUAAUCCCAUUUCUUGUUCUUUCUUAGUAGGUCUUUUCUUCUGGUACCGUGUAACCGAGACAGGGCUUAAUUUUAUUUGACUGGCUAGUAUAUUGGUGAGUUCGAACUAGAAAUCCAAUCAGAGCAGCAGAAAAUUUGGAUGAGCUAGCAAGGCAUUUAUGGCUCAGGCAAAUGGACUGGCACAGUUUCUUCACAAAAAAAAAAUGGACAUGCACAAUACCUUAAAGAAAGAGGACAGGUAGAAACAGCACAGUACUUGACUACUUCUAUAAGAAGAAGAGGACCUCCGGCGUGCCUCGCCGUCGCCGUCGCGAAGCGUGCAGGUGUACAGGGAGGGUGGCGGCCGGUGCCGGCGGCGGCCGGCACGAAGAAGAGGACCUCCGGCCGGCGCGCGGCGGCUGAUCUCCGACGUGAGGGCCGCGUUCCACGCGCGGCAGACGGCUCGGCAGCGGCGGGCGGUAACCGUGUGAGGAUUUCGUCGACAAGCACCUCGUCGUGCUGCCGCGGCUGGUGGCCCAACAUCGAUCCUCGACUUUGCCGGGGAUUGGAUUUUUCGUGAUGUGCAACGCCCAAGUAAGUAUCUGGAUCCAAGUUCGUUAUGUUAUGAACUCUGUGAACUCGUCGAGUUGGAGUCGGAGCCGGAACAAAAGCGAUUCGGACUCGGCUUCCUCCUGCCCUCCCGCCCGCCUCGAGCUCGAGCAAAACGAUCCUGGCUCUGCCCGUGCCAACUGCCGAGGGCAUGCUCAUUUUCUUGGUUUAUGGUCACUAUGGCCGGCCGUAACGUAAUCCUCAUCCCUCAAGACAUUCCUCAAGUCGGUAUAGCAGAGUUCACUGGUCUUCUUGCAGACGCAGACACGCUACAAUGUAUUGCAAGUUUAUUUUAUGAAAGUAGCUGAUAUGUCGGACCCACAUGUCAGCGACUUUCAAACACAUCUAGGGUACUAGCUACAGAGGAUAUUUGUUGUGCUCUUGCCUCUUGCACUGCUUGUCCCCACAGUAGACUUGUUUUGUUGCAUGGAUAUGCUGGGAGUUGCAACAGAGUGAGUAUGUCUACCCAUAUGCUGGCACUGGUUGUCGGAAUUUUUUCUUCUGCUUAAAUUGUUGCCUAUCUGUCGUGAAAUCACUGAAAAGAUUCGUGGUUUGGAGCAUCAAUUGUGUUCUGGGUUUGGUUCUCCUGAACACAAUAUUUCUGAACUCUUGAAAUACAUCAAGUUACAUCUCAGAAUCAUAUUCCACUGAAUUAACUGAUAGCAAUAUGGAAAAAAUUCAACAUAUCAUCUUUGUAUUGGACAGAUAAAUAAUAAAGCAUUGCAUAAGAAACUAUGACAAAUUAAGCACAUAUUAACUCUUUGGAACAAAAUAUCAUUAGAUAACGGUGAAGGAAUGGUCACUUGAAUAAUAAGAUCUUAUAUACAUCCUUUCAUGACGUGAUUAAAGUUAUCCUACCUCUAAUUGCACAACGAAAUGUUUGAAAAUGUACAAAAUGCUAACUCUACGCUAUUGAAGGGUUUAUCUACAACAAAAUGUCAAUGAUGUCACCUACAAAAAAAUUUACUACAGUGUGGGAAAAGAACAUCCACCAAAGAAUUGUUAAUCUCUCUUUAGUUAAAUGUGUCCCUCUUUUGUCAAUUGACUAGUCAUUGUACAUCAUCUGCGAAAGCCUUAAAAAUGAAAUCCCUGAACCGCUUGCAGUAUUGCUUCGGGUCAACGGCCGAUAUUGAGUUGGGAUCAUACUGCAUGGAUUUGUAAGCAUGCUCGAGCUUCUUGCUAAUAUCAUAGUCUUGUAGGAUGUCAAUGAUUCCAAAGAACAAAAUGACAUCCUGGAAUUCGCCUGUGGGCUCACCAAUGAGCGGAAAUUCACUAUCGGGAUUCUUCGCUACGUUCUCCACCCUUGAGGGCAUGCAAAUUCCUAGUUUUAAUGACGUUUUCCUGAAAAAAUCCACAAGUACUGUGUUAGUCCUCACUCCUCAGAGGUCAAUGUCAGGGUGAAUGUGAUACUUAGCCGUUGUAUGGUGUAAGCAAGGUACAUAUGCUGAACCACAGACAAGCUGCUGCAGCUGGUGAAAAUUAAAGGCUUUUCCGGUUAGAUUUUAAAAGCACUGGUGGUGUGAUAUAUUAGCUAGCUACUCCUUAUCUCUUCACAAUAAACAAUAUAUUGUGUAUGUUCACGUGAAAAAACAAUCUCAUCGUAUUUUUUUUGUUUAGGUUUAAAUCAUGUCUAAUUAUAUUUCAGUGAUACCAGCCCAAUCCAACCAUUCCUUGGGAUGAUAUUAAACUAGGGAUUAAAAUAUGUUCAGUAGUAAAUUGUGAUUGAUGAAAUGUAUUUUUAAGAUACCUAUUCUCCUCAGAAUCUUCAGUGGUAGUAUGAGAUGUUCCAUUUUCAGUAUUGCUGCUGUCUGUAAUCAUCAAAGAGAUUUUUCAGUCUCCAAACUUUAAAUAUAUCUACAAACAUUUUUGCAACUGCAAGUACGUGAAAGCAUGCAUGUGCUUAUCUUUGCAUCUGUCCUUGAAGUGAAUACCAACCAAAAGACUAUAAUCCAUGAUCCUUUCCUGCUCCAUCAGUUCACAAUCUUUGUCGACUUGUCUGAAAAGAGAUUCAAAUCAUUGGGGCAAGGAAUGCUUGGUGCUUAUGCUAGUGACUAUGUUUGCCAAAAGAAAAAAAAUAUCAUUGGGUCUUUUUUAAUUCAGCUGUGACUUAUAAACAUUUUUAAGUAUUUCUCAUUCAACAGAUUGGCACAUCCAAGCAUACUUUUAGUUUACUUUUGCGCAUAUGUAAUUAAUAUUCCUAAAACGUGCUAACUAGAGAAAGGGAAACAUCCUAGACAAUUUUGCAGAUGGUAUGUGAACCUGCAGAAUUCUUGAAACCAAGAUCCUUCUAGCCGGAAGAUGAAAUUUAGAUCAAGAUCCUUCAACGUGGUAUGCUCGCUAAUUUGAUCAAUGGGUUUGUCUGUCAUGCGACCAUGUGAAGAUCCUUUCAAAUCGAAGCGCCUAUGGAUUGCAUAGUUGGAGCAGAAAAGAUUCCCCAUUAUAACAAACCGGACCUGUAUUUCAUGUUUACAAAGAUGUUGAACGACUCUCACACAUCAAAUUUAAAUUUGUGAAUAUAGCAGUCUGACCUUUUUCUGAAUAGCUCCUGUAAGUUUAACGCAGUGCAGACCAAAAAAUUUUGUUAAUAGAGUAUUUUCAAAAGCACGGACAUGUUUAUAGUAGGCUGGAAGCAUCCUAAGGAGUACCUGUUCACAUAGAAAACACAAAUUCAAUUAUAUCACUUGUUAAAAGUUAAUCUAAGGUGUGAGUGUGCAUUCAAUGAACUUACUUUAACUUCUGAUUUCUUCAUUGUUUUGAUCAUGUACUUGUCAUCAUUUGUCAGGUAAAAGAAACUUCCACUUUUCCCAGGUGAUGAAAGUUCCCUGAGUGCCUCAUCCCCGCAAAUGGAGAUCAUGUAAUCAGCAGGGUCGACAUCGAAGAGCUUGCGCAAAGUCCUGGAGCGAAGUACAGAAGAACAAAUUAGCUCUGCAUUGUAGAUAGGAAGCAAUAACAGUAAUAUCACAAAAAUUACUACCACAUGAAAGGAAAAAAAUGGCAUCAUAAAGGUUAAUCAUAUAGUGGUCCAUAAAUCAUAAUGACCUGAAAACCAAGGGGCAGUAGUCUUUCCACCGAAAAUCGCACGAUUGGUGAGGAGGAGUAUGCUUUGAUCCCUCAGGUGGAAAUCUUGUCCAAACUUUUUCUUUUGGAUCAAAUGCUGAUGAUUUAAGGUCCAGCGAAGUUGGCGCCGACUGCCUUCCAACAGCAUGCCUGUUUCAAAUUUAAAAGACGAAUUGAAUGGGAACUUCAGAUUCAGAAAAACAGCAGUAUGUGCAUCUGAAAACAAAAAGGAGAUCGAUCGAAUGGUAGUAAAGACGACUAAAGAACACAAUAUUAUUAGGCAAGAAGCAGAGCUAGAUACCUUAUGCCAAGCUGCAGGUUGAGCAUGAGCUCGUAGUUCCUGUGCCCCUUGGAAAUCGUCUCCCCCUGCUUCUUCCCCGGCCUCGGCGGCGUGCGCAUGCAUGACGACGUGCGCAAGCAUGACCUGUCCGUCCGCGCCUCCUCGCUCUCACCCUCGGCCUGCAGGCUGUCCAGGUCCAGCGACACGCUGCUCCUCCUGCUCACGCUGGACCUCCUCCCGUGGUCGGCGCUGACCUUGGGCGGCCGCCACACCGGCUUCUUCUGCACGGCCUCCACCCCUGGCCACGUCAGUAUCUUGUGCGACGGCAUCAGCGACGCCUUCUUCCCCUCGCAGGCCUCGAGCUCCUGGAGCAGCGUCGUGAUGGGCUCGCACGGCUCCCGAGGCACGGGCACCGCGGGCCCACCGGACGGCGGGUAGUACACGCCGUCGGCGUGCACCGCGCCGGACUCUUCGCACCAGGUGCCGAUGUACAUCCCGCCGUCGGCCCACCGGAACGUGCCCUGGCCCUUGGGCCUGGCAUCCUCCCACGCGCCGUCGUAGCGGUCGCCGUCGGCCCAGAUCACGGUGCCGCACCCGUGCAUGUCGCCGGCCUUCCAGGUGCCGAUGUACUCGUGGCCGUGGCGCCAGAUGUAGCGGCCGUGGCCGUCCUGCAGGCCGUCGCGCCAGUGGCCGUCGUACACGUCGCCGUUGGCGUACGCCUGCGUGCCGCGGCCGUGCCGGAGGUUGCUCGCCCAGAGCCCCGCGAAGGUGUCCCCGAACUCGCCGAUGUAGGUGCCGUGGCCGUGCAUGUAGCCGCCGGCGAAGUCGCCCUCGUAGGUGGCGCCGGACGUCCACGAGAACUUGCCGCGGCCGGACGCGCGGCCGCGGCGCCACGAGCCCUCGUACAUGCUGCCGUCGGUCCAGAGGAACUUGCCGGCGCCGUGCGGGAGGUCCCCGCGCAGGUCGCCCUGGUAGAAGUCCCCGCUGGGCAGCAGCUGCUCGGCGUGGGUGGGCUCGCCGAGCGCGGCGGCGUCGGCGUCCUCGUCGCCGGCGUCCGAGUCGUUGCCGCCCUCGGUGCUGGUGUCGCUGUCCUCGCCAUCGUCGUGGUACUGGUAGAUUGUGCUGGACGCCGAGGAGCUGACGGAGAGGAGGCAGGGCGUGGCGGCGUCGGAGGCGCUGCCGUCGACGGGGCCCGCAGCGGGCGCGACGGUGCCGACGCGGCGGAUGGUCUGGAGCUUUCGGAUGCUCGCCUCCCACAGCCGGCUGGCCGGGGCAGGGAGCUGGCUCAUCUUCCUCGCCGACGUCGUCAUGUUGGCGCAGUCAGGUCGAAGGACGUGGCGAGAGGUCAACACGACCGGGCCGGAGCGAGUCGGUGGUGCAUGGCGGUGGCGCAGGAGCAGGAGGAGCAGGACAAGGCUGUUUUGGGCUUGGAUUACGAGUCGUUUUCAAUGCGGAAGGACAUGACCUCUGGCUGGCCGAAGGCUGGGAGGAGUUGUCGGGGUGGGAGCCGAGGAGAGCUCGGGAGCGCAACAUUUGGAGGGAAGCGCCUCGGCCGUUGAGGCGUUCCACUACUGCUCUGUUGCCACAGAAUAGGGGUGCGGUUGGCUACGCUUCAUGCGACAAAUCGCCAAUUGACGCUUGAAGCGCGCAGCAUGCACUACUAUCUAUUUUUUUUUCCCACAAAGCUCAAUUUUAUUAGAAGAAAAUUACACUUUCAAAUUGAAUUUCUGUUAUACCACUAUAUUUUUUAAUACGACAAGAUCUUCAUAAUAUGAUUACACUUAAUUACAGCAAGAAAAUAAAAAAAUACUUGAAUAGUUAAGUAUGGCUUCCUACGAUGUAGCAAUCCUCCAACUAUGGGGGUGUUCGGCUGAGCUUCAAAUAAGCUGCAGCCGCUUAUUUGAACAGUAAAAAUAGAGAGAAGUAAAAAAAAAAAAGCUCUGCUGCUUAUUUUGACUGAUUCGAACAGACCUAAUAUAUCUCGUCCAUCUGCUGCUUGGUGUACUUCGUUGCACUCCCAAAUGACACAUACACCACCGACUUCUCCGGGUGAGUUGAAGCCACUCCAUGUGUACCUCUUCUCGUCGACGCUAUCGUGAAACAACUGGAUCCGUGCUUCCGACCAUGGGACCAACGGUAAGCACACCCAAGUGCCGCUUCAUCUCCCUAGCUAAGCACGUUCGCCUCCAGCUCGCCUCACAAGCACCUUCGGCCGCCAUUGGUGAUUGGUCCAUGUACUCGAACAGUUCUUGGUGGAGAGGCACUCGGAGCUUGCACGACGCCUGAGCCAGCUCGGUCGUCGGCGUCCUUGGCCCAGGAGCCAUCGUCGACACCAUCGGAGUAGGGAACGUAAGAUAUGGCACCGUAGCGGUCUCCGGCGAAGGGAACGUACAUGCGGCGGUAGGCGGCAACCGGCACGGAGAGCGUGGCCAGAAUGGAGCCAUCGGCGCCGAGCCGGGCGAGACGGUGCGCGAGGACGCGACCUGGGUUGAUGUGGCUUUGGACGCCGUAGGCCACCAGCAGGAGAUGGUGGCGGCCGUGGUGGAUGUUGAACAAGUUAAUAAGUGUACAAAACAGCAGUUCAAGCAAAGAAAAAAAAAACAAUCGGUGGCCAUGUUCACCCAAUCUGUCAUUUGCUGAUGAAGUGAUGAACACGAUAAAAGAAUCCACUGUAUAUCGCUUGCAAAUCAUGGAGGCAGCAACCUCAAUAUGGAAGCAGACUUGUAGACUGAACUGAAGAUGGACUACUGAAAUUGUUCCGUUCAAGUGUACGAUUUCAUUUAGGGUUAGUUUGGCAGUGCUCUACCUCCAUUUUCUCCUGCGGUUCAGUUGAAGCUCUACUAAACAAUUUGGUUAAAAACGGCUUCACCCUGGAGUACUAGAGGAGCUGGAACCGGAGCCGUUUUAUAUGCAGGGUUGGUCCUGAGAUUUGGGAGGCUUGGGGCGAAGUAAAACUAAGGGUCCUUUAAUAUAAACAUUAUAACAAAUAUAUAUGGCAUUAUAACAAACUCGGGACCCUUUAAUAUAAACAAACUCUGAGCCCUUUAAUAUAAACAUUAUAACAAAUGAACUUGGGGUAUUAAAUACACAAUCGUUAUAAAUCAGUUGAGAUUAAAUAAUUUGUGAUAGUGAAUUAAUAAUUAAUGGUACAAAGAAUUGGCAAUCAAAUCACCUAAUCACAAGGUUGGCAAGCAACAAGCCAAGAACCGGCGGUGCGCGGGGUUCUCCGCGCUCGCCGAGGGCUUCCUCGUGGCCGGCGGCGGAGCUUCCUUAGGCGGCCUCCAAUCUUGCACGGCCGGCGGCGGAGCUCCCCUGGGCAGCCCCCGAGCUCGCCUGGCCGGCGGCGAAGCGGCCUUGGGUGGCCCCCUGAGCGCGCCCCGGUCAUGCUCCGCCAGGCGGCUCCUCCUGGCCCGCCUCGCCUCCCGUCAUGCCGGCGCCGACGCCAACACGGCCCUUCCUCCGCCCCAUCCAGCUCUGCAGGCUCGCACAACGCUGCCUCAUGCCACCCUCGCUCACACGCAAAAGAUGAGACAGACCUGCGUCUAAGGGGAAUAUUCCCAUCGGGAACGGAUCCAACCUAUUUUGUUUUUCAGCCAAACGCAGGUCCACAUGGGUCGAACCCGUUCCAAUUAAACCUUCAAACCAAACACUCGUUUAGAGCGGUUGCUGCGCUGCCAAUGGUGUUCACGAGGAAGGGCGGGAUGUUGCAGAUUUGCCGAUUUGGAAUGGGAAUAGCGACGUGUGCAUCAGCGCUGACGUGUUUUGUCAAAGAAGUCAAUUGGUCUGAUGUGUGCGUGCCAGCUGUCCAGUUUAUCUGGAUUCUUCGGAGGAAUAAACUUUUAGACUCGGUGGUCUGGGCAGUGGUGGAAUCUGGGCCAUCGAAUUGUGUAUGAACGGUCCAGAUGCAGCGGACGGCAACCUCCUCCUGUUUUCUCUGAAAAAGCAGAGGCGGCGGUCGGUCUUUCCCCACGAACAGCCGUCUCCUGCCUUCGUUCGCGAUCGAGGGAAGUCUCCGCCGGAGUCAGGGACCUAGGGUUUGAGGAUCGUCGGAAGGGGCGCAGGGUGAGGAGCGCGAGGAGGGGAAGAUGAUCGAGGUGGUGCUGAACGACCGCCUGGGGAAGAAGGUGCGGGUCAAGUGCAACGAGGACGACACCAUCGGCGACCUCAAGAAGCUGGUGGCGGCGCAGACGGGGACGCGCCCCGAGAAGAUCCGCAUCCAGAAGUGGUACAACAUCUACAAGGACCACAUCACCCUCAAGGACUACGAGAUCCACGACGGCAUGGGCCUCGAGCUCUACUACAACUAGCUGCCCUGACUCCACAUGCCUUUGUUAUCAGGUACGAAUCCCUCCCGGAUUCGGAGCUGUUCCUCUUCGUUCCUGCGCGCGUGACUUGGUUUUCGUU